GACGAACGCUGGCGGCGUGCUUAAUACAUGCAAGUCAACGACUUUUAGAGUAGCAAUAUUUUAAAAGGAGUGGCGCACGGGUGAGUAACACGUAGGUAAUCUGCCUUCAGGACUGACACAACUCGUCGAAAGACGGGCUAAUAUCAGAUAAUGCAGCGGCUCCGCAUGGAGACAGUUGUUAAAGUACAAGCGCCUGAAGAUGAGCCUGCGGUCCAUUAGCUAGUUGGUAGAGUAACAGCCUACCAAGGCAACGAUGGAUAGCUGGUCUGAGAGGAUGAUCAGCCACACUGGAACUGAGACACGGUCCAGACUCCUACGGGAGGCAGCAGUAAGGAAUAUUGCUCAAUGGCGAAAGGCUGAAGCAGCAACGCCGCGUGAAGGAUGAAUGGCCUUUGGCCUGUAACUU
This 406-nucleotide ribosomal RNA is filed under the name uncultured bacterium. RNAcentral describes it as "bacterial SSU rRNA". It matches the Rfam family "Bacterial small subunit ribosomal RNA", at positions 28 to 432 of the family's 1533-position model. The record is from RNAcentral.